GACGAACGCUGGCGGCGUGCUUAACACAUGCAAGUCGAGCGGAAAGGCCACUUCGGUGGUACUCGGGCGGCGAACGGGUGAGUAACACGUGAGUAAUCUGCCCCCGGCUUUGGGAUAGCCACCGGCAACGGUGAUUAAAACCGGAUACGACCACUUCUCGCAUGGGAUGGUGGUGGAAAGUUGUUUCGGCCAGGGAUGUGCUCGCGGCCUAUCAGCUUGAUGGUGAGGUAAUGGCCCACCAUGGCUUCGACGGGUAGCCGGCCUGAGAGGGUGACCGGUCACACUGGGACUGAGACACGGCCCAGACUCCUACGGGAGGCAGCAGUGGGGAAUAUUGGACAAUGGGCGGAAGCCUGAUCCAGCAACGCCGCGUGAGGGAUGACGGCCUUCGGGUUGUAAACCUCUUUCAGCAGGGACGAAGCGCAAGUGACGGUACCUGCAGAAGAAGCACCGGCCAACUACGUGCCAGCCGCCGCCGUAA
This 481-nucleotide ribosomal RNA is filed under the name uncultured bacterium. Its description in RNAcentral is "partial 16S ribosomal RNA". It matches the Rfam family "Bacterial small subunit ribosomal RNA", at positions 28 to 523 of the family's 1533-position model. The record is from RNAcentral.